Molecule: transfer RNA, 76 nt
Filed under: Candidatus Berkiella aquae
Lineage: Bacteria; Pseudomonadati; Pseudomonadota; Gammaproteobacteria; Candidatus Berkiellales; Candidatus Berkiellaceae
Description: tRNA-His
Rfam family: tRNA
About the family: Transfer RNA (tRNA) molecules are approximately 80 nucleotides in length.
Source: RNAcentral
GUGGAUGUAGCUCAGUUGGUAGAGCCCCGGUUUGUGGUACCGGUUGUCGUGGGUUCGAACCCCAUCAUUCACCCCA